This 2906-nucleotide ribosomal RNA is filed under the name Escherichia coli O157:H7 str. EC4115. Its description in RNAcentral is "bacterial LSU rRNA". It matches the Rfam family "Bacterial large subunit ribosomal RNA". The record is from RNAcentral. Lineage: Bacteria; Pseudomonadati; Pseudomonadota; Gammaproteobacteria; Enterobacterales; Enterobacteriaceae.
GGUUAAGCGACUAAGCGUACACGGUGGAUGCCCUGGCAGUCAGAGGCGAUGAAGGACGUGCUAAUCUGCGAUAAGCGUCGGUAAGGUGAUAUGAACCGUUAUAACCGGCGAUUUCCGAAUGGGGAAACCCAGUGUGUUUCGACACACUAUCAUUAACUGAAUCCAUAGGUUAAUGAGGCGAACCGGGGGAACUGAAACAUCUAAGUACCCCGAGGAAAAGAAAUCAACCGAGAUUCCCCCAGUAGCGGCGAGCGAACGGGGAGGAGCCCAGAGCCUGAAUCAGUGUGUGUGUUAGUGGAAGCGUCUGGAAAGGCGCGCGAUACAGGGUGACAGCCCCGUACACAAAAAUGCACAUGCUGUGAGCUCGAUGAGUAGGGCGGGACACGUGGUAUCCUGUCUGAAUAUGGGGGGACCAUCCUCCAAGGCUAAAUACUCCUGACUGACCGAUAGUGAACCAGUACCGUGAGGGAAAGGCGAAAAGAACCCCGGCGAGGGGAGUGAAAAAGAACCUGAAACCGUGUACGUACAAGCAGUGGGAGCACAGAGCAAUCUGUGUGACUGCGUACCUUUUGUAUAAUGGGUCAGCGACUUAUAUUCUGUAGCAAGGUUAACCGAAUAGGGGAGCCGAAGGGAAACCGAGUCUUAACUGGGCGUUAAGUUGCAGGGUAUAGACCCGAAACCCGGUGAUCUAGCCAUGGGCAGGUUGAAGGUUGGGUAACACUAACUGGAGGACCGAACCGACUAAUGUUGAAAAAUUAGCGGAUGACUUGUGGCUGGGGGUGAAAGGCCAAUCAAACCGGGAGAUAGCUGGUUCUCCCCGAAAGCUAUUUAGGUAGCGCCUCGUGAAUUCAUCUCCGGGGGUAGAGCACUGUUUCGGCAAGGGGGUCAUCCCGACUUACCAACCCGAUGCAAACUGCGAAUACCGGAGAAUGUUAUCACGGGAGACACACGGCGGGUGCUAACGUCCGUCGUGAAGAGGGAAACAACCCAGACCGCCAGCUAAGGUCCCAAAGUCAUGGUUAAGUGGGAAACGAUGUGGGAAGGCCCAGACAGCCAGGAUGUUGGCUUAGAAGCAGCCAUCAUUUAAAGAAAGCGUAAUAGCUCACUGGUCGAGUCGGCCUGCGCGGAAGAUGUAACGGGGCUAAACCAUGCACCGAAGCUGCGGCAGCGACACUGUGUGUUGUUGGGUAGGGGAGCGUUCUGUAAGCCUGUGAAGGUGUGCUGUGAGGCAUGCUGGAGGUAUCAGAAGUGCGAAUGCUGACAUAAGUAACGAUAAAGCGGGUGAAAAAGCCCGCUCGCCGGAAGACCAAGGGUUCCUGUCCAACGUUAAUCGGGGCAGGGUGAGUCGACCCCUAAGGCGAGGCCGAAAGGCGUAGUCGAUGGGAAACAGGUUAAUAUUCCUGUACUUGGUGUUACUGCGAAGGGGGGACGGAGAAGGCUAUGUUGGCCGGGCGACGGUUGUCCCGGUUUAAGCGUGUAGGCUGGUUUUCCAGGCAAAUCCGGAAAAUCAAGGCUGAGGCGUGAUGACGAGGCACUACGGUGCUGAAGCAACAAAUGCCCUGCUUCCAGGAAAAGCCUCUAAGCAUCAGGUAACAUCAAAUCGUACCCCAAACCGACACAGGUGGUCAGGUAGAGAAUACCAAGGCGCUUGAGAGAACUCGGGUGAAGGAACUAGGCAAAAUGGUGCCGUAACUUCGGGAGAAGGCACGCUGAUAUGUAGGUGAAGUCCCUCGCGGAUGGAGCUGAAAUCAGUCGAAGAUACCAGCUGGCUGCAACUGUUUAUUAAAAACACAGCACUGUGCAAACACGAAAGUGGACGUAUACGGUGUGACGCCUGCCCGGUGCCGGAAGGUUAAUUGAUGGGGUCAGCGCAAGCGAAGCUCUUGAUCGAAGCCCCGGUAAACGGCGGCCGUAACUAUAACGGUCCUAAGGUAGCGAAAUUCCUUGUCGGGUAAGUUCCGACCUGCACGAAUGGCGUAAUGAUGGCCAGGCUGUCUCCACCCGAGACUCAGUGAAAUUGAACUCGCUGUGAAGAUGCAGUGUACCCGCGGCAAGACGGAAAGACCCCGUGAACCUUUACUAUAGCUUGACACUGAACAUUGAGCCUUGAUGUGUAGGAUAGGUGGGAGGCUUUGAAGUGUGGACGCCAGUCUGCAUGGAGCCGACCUUGAAAUACCACCCUUUAAUGUUUGAUGUUCUAACGUGGACCCGUGAUCCGGGUUGCGGACAGUGUCUGGUGGGUAGUUUGACUGGGGCGGUCUCCUCCUAAAGAGUAACGGAGGAGCACGAAGGUUGGCUAAUCCUGGUCGGACAUCAGGAGGUUAGUGCAAUGGCAUAAGCCAGCUUGACUGCGAGCGUGACGGCGCGAGCAGGUGCGAAAGCAGGUCAUAGUGAUCCGGUGGUUCUGAAUGGAAGGGCCAUCGCUCAACGGAUAAAAGGUACUCCGGGGAUAACAGGCUGAUACCGCCCAAGAGUUCAUAUCGACGGCGGUGUUUGGCACCUCGAUGUCGGCUCAUCACAUCCUGGGGCUGAAGUAGGUCCCAAGGGUAUGGCUGUUCGCCAUUUAAAGUGGUACGCGAGCUGGGUUUAGAACGUCGUGAGACAGUUCGGUCCCUAUCUGCCGUGGGCGCUGGAGAACUGAGGGGGGCUGCUCCUAGUACGAGAGGACCGGAGUGGACGCAUCACUGGUGUUCGGGUUGUCAUGCCAAUGGCACUGCCCGGUAGCUAAAUGCGGAAGAGAUAAGUGCUGAAAGCAUCUAAGCACGAAACUUGCCCCGAGAUGAGUUCUCCCUGACCCUUUAAGGGUCCUGAAGGAACGUUGAAGACGACGACGUUGAUAGGCCGGGUGUGUAAGCGCAGCGAUGCGUUGAGCUAACCGGUACUAAUGAACCGUGAGGCUUAACCUU